This is a long non-coding RNA of Haplochromis burtoni (Burton's mouthbrooder), 2078 nucleotides long. RefSeq lists it as uncharacterized. The record is from RefSeq and is a predicted model, not a curated record. Lineage: Eukaryota; Metazoa; Chordata; Actinopteri; Cichliformes; Cichlidae. The transcript is spliced from 2 exons.
GCUUGUUUGGUGACGUUACAUAUCACCAAUAAAUAUUAUUAUUAUUAUAAUCCUGCUUUGUUUUUUUCUUAGUUUUUCGGUGUCCCCCCACACAAACAUAUAAAGUGUUCAAAGUGUCUCUGAUCUUACAAAUAACACAUAGAAACAUGGUUGCAAAGCUAAAAUGUUCAGCAUAUUUAGGAAAUAUGUGCUACUGUCACUGGCCAAUACGUAUAAUAACUAAUUUGAUAUUCACACAUAUAUGAAUAUCAAAAUGAUUGGGAUCCUAGAGCAGACUCAUUGCACAACACUAAAGACUACCUAAAGUUAUAAACAUUGUGAAUAAGACAUUGAAAGUUAAGAUUUUUAAUAUGAGAAGGAUUGGCUAGUCUCAAGUGCCCACUCCCAGCUGUGGUAAGGGGGAUGAUAUUUUGACACUUCACUCCAUAGAGGCCUUUCUUGGUACCAGGCUGUAAACAAAUGUUCUGCCAUUAUAACAAUGAAGUCUGUGUGGGCUGACUUGCUUUUGGGCCCUGCCUCAAGUGGCCACUCUCAGAACAGCAGUUUUAGGCACGUCUGCAUUAGCUUCAUUUUACAGUCUGUCAGGCUGGUACAUCAUUCUUAAUUUAUGCUACCGUUGUGUCUGUUGCAGUCCUCCAAAAUCCAAACAUGAUCAACAUGGAUGCUAGGAAGGAAAGGGAGUGGCAGCAGCAUUCUUCUGGAAUGGGAAAAGCACGAAAAGACAUCAAAGUUUAAAAACUGGAUGAUGGACCAGAAACAACUCCUUGUACCAGAUAUUUGAGACUGCCCCCACCUGACAACAGAUGCACUCUGCAGGUAGAUGGGCAGUCCUUAGCUGCCCAUAUACUGCCAAUGCACUACCACUGCUGAACCAUAGUUUCCUCAUGAGUGUUACCUACUGCAUCAGCUUGUAAAGAGUUGUGGCAGUGCAUUCCUUUUUUCCAUACGUUUUUUCGUUUCUCCACCUGUCUGCCUCAGUCUCAUAAAAAGGACAUGGCUUGAAAGCAUUUAGGAUUUUUUCCCCCUUUGAUACAGUGAGGAGGGGAUUAGACUUUGGUGGUCAAAGAUCACUCUCCAUUUGACCUGCUUUGGUGCUCAUUCUGAUUGUACAGGUAGAACAGCUCCUCCAAGAGGAUGGCACAUCGAAAUCUGCAAAUUUCACUCCAGCUCUCCGUGAUGUUAUGACUUAGAGAUUUCAAGGGGCAGGCAAGUACACAAGGAGAGUUAGGACAGCAGACAUCGUCAGCAAUGACUAGUACUUUCUUCUUUGUUUGAGGAGGAACAUGAGGAGCAGUGACCUCCAGAGGGUUACACAAAUGUGCAUGUUUCUAACCAAACUGUCACGAGUGACGUAUGUCAAUAUAAAAGAAAAAAAAAAUCUUGAGACCUUAAGAUAAACAAGGAGAUCAUUUAAUUUGUUUUUUCUCAUACUUUUUAAACUCAUUUGUCUCAUUGAGUCUAAAAAGUUGUUUCUGUCCAAACAGAGGUGAUAAACAUAAACACAUAAACUGGCUGCAAGUCCUGAUUUUACCCCAGUUUAAGAUGCAAAGAAUUAUAACCAUCGGCUAGUAUUUUACGUUAUUUCUCUUCAGUUUCAAUCCUGAUAUUAUAAUAAGCUGAUAACUGUGAUUGGUUGCUUGUACAAAGGUUUACUGUGUUAAAUAUGAACAUAGUAAAUAGUUCCGUAAAUUUUAAAUAAAGUUUAAAAGGCCCUUAGUGACUUAACUUCAGCUAUGUGUAUUUUACGGCCACAUGUAUCUAUGUGUAGCAGACCAUUCAACUAUAAUAACAAUACAUUAGGAUGGAAUUACUCAUCAUUUACCUGUCAAACCGCAAGCUACGCCCAUACAAGGCAUCCCAGUCCCACCCAUAUGUGGUCCAACCCUUAGAAACGUCCCAUUACCGUCACAAGUACAGGAAAAAUGGCGGCGAGUAUGUUGCGGCUCCCGCUGCGACUUUCCUCCAGAAAUAUGGGGAUAAUGACCCGUAAUACCGGCUUGAAGACCUCAAAUAUACCCAGGACGACUCAAAGCAGGACCGCAGUGUCUACGCCGUCUGGAGCAAUUCUACCGAAGCCG